CUGGGGAAAGCAGGAGUGAG
RNAcentral lists this microRNA (20 nucleotides) under Bos taurus (domestic cattle). Its description in RNAcentral is "bta-miR-6525". Lineage: Eukaryota; Metazoa; Chordata; Mammalia; Artiodactyla; Bovidae. The record is from miRBase by way of RNAcentral.